AUUGAACGCUGGCGGAAUGCUUUACACAUGCAAGUCGAACGGCAGCACGGGGCAACCUGGUGGCGAGUGGCGAACGGGUGAGUAAUACAUCGGAACGUGCCCAAUCGUGGGGGAUAACGUAGCGAAAGUUACGCUAAUACCGCAUACGAUCUACGGAUGAAAGCGGGGGAUCGCAAGACCUCGCGCGAAUGGAGCGGCCGAUGUCAGAUUAGGUAGUUGGUGGGGUAAAGGCUCACCAAGCCAACGAUCUGUAGCUGGUCUGAGAGGACGACCAGCCACACUGGAACUGAGACACGGUCCAGACUCCUACGGGAGGCAGCAGUGGGGAAUUUUGGACAAUGGGCGCAAGCCUGAUCCAGCCAUUCCGCGUGCAGGAUGAAGGCCUUCGGGUUGUAAACUGCUUUGUACGGUAACGAAACGGUACUGCCCUAAUACGGCGGGCUAAUGACGGUACCGCAAGAAUAAGCACCGGCUAACUACGUAGCCAGCAGCCGCGGUAA
This 500-nucleotide ribosomal RNA is filed under the name uncultured bacterium. Its description in RNAcentral is "bacterial SSU rRNA". It matches the Rfam family "Bacterial small subunit ribosomal RNA", at positions 30 to 523 of the family's 1533-position model. The record is from RNAcentral.